This 502-nucleotide ribosomal RNA is filed under the name uncultured bacterium. RNAcentral describes it as "bacterial SSU rRNA". It matches the Rfam family "Bacterial small subunit ribosomal RNA", at positions 27 to 509 of the family's 1533-position model. The record is from RNAcentral.
GGAUGAACGCUGGCGGCGUGCCUAAUACAUGCAAGUCGAGCGAAUGGAUUAAGAGCUUGCUCUUAUGAAGUUAGCGGCGGACGGGUGAGUAACACGUGGGUAACCUGCCCAUAAGACUGGGAUAACUCCGGGAAACCGGGGCUAAUACCGGAUAACAUUUUGAACYGCAUGGUUCGAAAUUGAAAGGCGGCUUCGGCUGUCACUUAUGGAUGGACCCGCGUCGCAUUAGCUAGUUGGUGAGGUAACGGCUCACCAAGGCAACGAUGCGUAGCCGACCUGAGAGGGUGAUCGGCCACACUGGGACUGAGACACGGCCCAGACUCCUACGGGAGGCAGCAGUAGGGAAUCUUCCGCAAUGGACGAAAGUCUGACGGAGCAACGCCGCGUGAGUGAUGAAGGCUUUCGGGUCGUAAAACUCUGUUGUUAGGGAAGAACAAGUGCUAGUUGAAUAAGCUGGCACCUUGACGGUACCUAACCAGAAAGCCACGGCUAACUACGUGCC